This 240-nucleotide unclassified non-coding RNA is filed under the name soil metagenome. RNAcentral describes it as "partial contains 5.8S ribosomal RNA, internal transcribed spacer 2, and large subunit ribosomal RNA". The record is from RNAcentral.
AACGCACGAGACCUGCGGACCUGCGGAAGGAUCAUUACAGAGUUGCAAAACUCCAAACCAUUGUGAACUUACCUUUGCCGUUGCUUCGGCGGGCGGCCCGGGUCCCGACCCGGCGCCCCCCGGCCCCGUCAGGGGCGCCCGCCGGAGGUAAACCAAACUCUUGAAUUGUAUGGCCUCUCUGAGUCUUCUGUACUGAAUAAGUCAAAACUUUCAGCAACGGAUCUCUAGAUCGGAAGAGCA